RNAcentral lists this ribosomal RNA (522 nucleotides) under uncultured Actinomycetes bacterium. Its description in RNAcentral is "bacterial SSU rRNA". It matches the Rfam family "Bacterial small subunit ribosomal RNA", at positions 355 to 891 of the family's 1533-position model. Lineage: Bacteria; Bacillati; Actinomycetota; Actinomycetes. The record is from RNAcentral.
UGGGGAAUCUUGCUCAAUGGGCGAAAGCCUGAAGCAGCAACGCCGCGUGCGGGAUGACGGCCCUCGGGUUGUAAACCGCUUUCAGCAGGGAAGAAACCAGACGGUACCUGCAGAAGAAGGUCCGGCUAACUACGUGCCAGCAGCCGCGGUAACACGUAGGGGCCAAGCGUUGUCCGGAUUCAUUGGGCGUAAAGAGCUCGUAGGCGGUUCAGUUAGUCGGGUGUGAAAUCUCCGGGCUCAACCCGGAGGGGCCACCCGAUACUGCUGUGACUCGAGUCCGGUAGGGGAGUGGGGAAUUCCUGGUGUAGCGGUGAAAUGCGCAGAUAUCAGGAGGAACACCGGUGGCGAAGGCGCCACUCUGGGCCGGUACUGACGCUGAGGAGCGAAAGCGUGGGUAGCAAACAGGAUUAGAUACCCUGGUAGUCCACGCCGUAAACGGUGGGCACUAGGUGUGGGUCCUUACCAACGGGAUCCGUGCCGUAGCUAACGCAUUAAGUGCCCGCCUGGGGAGUACGGCCGACG